AAUAUCAUAUCAUAGAAAUUAAGGGAGCUGCUAUCCCUCUGAUUGUUUGCUUAUUGCUUUAUAAACAGCAAAGUAAACUGUGAGCCAUGCAGAAUAUUGGAGAUAACUUCCUAUAAGUUACAUAAGCUCUAAGAGAAAUCUAAUCUCUAAACGAAGUGAAUUGAAAUAUCUUAGUAACUUCAGGAAAAUAAAUCAAAAGAGAUUCUAUGAAUAACGUGAGUGAAAGUAGAGUAGCCUAUAAAGUAGAACGGUACAAAAACUGUUUAAAUAAAUGGGGAACCUUCCUCAAAGGCUAAAUAUGAUACAUGAGCGAUAGUGAAAAGUACCAUGAGGGAACUAAACGAAAAUAGUAGUUUUAUAAGCAGUUCGAUAAAAAGAACGUACCUUUUGCAUAAUGGGUCACCAAGUUAACGUUAGAUGCGAGCAUAUGCGUAGUUAAACCGGACGUUAAAAUAACGAAACAGUGUCUAAAGUUAGACCCGAAGCACGGUGAUUUUACCAUAGUCAGGAUUAUAAAAGUCCGAACGGGUGAUUGUAGCAUAAAUCUCCGAAGAACUGUGGUAGGUGUAGUGAAAGACAACACUGACUGUGAUAGCUGGUUUUCUGCGAAACCUAUAAUAGUAGGCAAUUUAAGUAAAUAUCUUAGCAGGUACAUAAUUUAAUCUCAGACAAGAUGUGUAAACGUUUUAUUUUGUACAAAUUGGGGGAUCAUGAAGAUUUUAUCAGUGAGUAUGUAGACUCGGAAUGGCAAAGAUAUAUCUUGAAUUAUCAGACAUAGAAUGAUAAGGUUGUAUGUCAAAAGGGAAACAGCCCAGAACAAGAGUUAAGGUUCCUAAAUUAUUAGUUAAGUGAAAUUAAGAAGGUUUUUAUUAAAGUCGACAAGGAGAUAGGCUUAGAAGCAGCCAUAAUUUUAUGACCUCGUAACAGAGCGCUUGUUAAGCUAUAGAAGCAUCGAAAAUUUAACGGAUCUAAACUAUAUACCGAAACCUUGUACAUUGUUAGUAGAUAGGGCGUUUGGGGUAGCAGAACGUUGAGUAAAUAAUGGAUUUUAUUUUUUUAAAUAGAAUUAUAAUAAUUUAACUCAAGUGAGAAUGGUGACAUGAGUAACUAAAAGAAAAUUUUCCGCCUUAAGCUUAUGGAUAUAAUUAAGUAACGGCCUCUAAGUUUAUAUUAUCUAAAGAUUUAAACGAUGAGAAAAUCUUUUUUACUAAGGACAACAUUUUAGUCUAAAAUGUGCUGGAAAAAUAGUAAAUAUAUUUGAUAUCUAAUAACAAAAUAUAUAUGUUAUCUAAGAACAAAUGAACAAAACCGUACCUAGAAUCUGAAAAAAGUAAGCUAGUAGAGAAUACGAAGGCGUAAAUGAGCUAACAAUCAUAAAGGAACUCGGCAAAUUGACUACCGUAACUUCGGAAUAAGGAGGGCUCAAUUCUUGAUUAAUAUCAAGUAAAAAGGAAGAAGCAUAAAAUGAUGUUGUACGACUGUUUAAUUAAAACACAGCACUUUGCUGAAAGAUAAAAAAUCUAAGUAUAAAGUGUGAAAUCUGCCCGGUGCCGGCUUUGGUUAACAGAGAUAAUUAAAUAUACUAUUAUUUGACGUCGACGGAAACCCCGGUUAAAGGCGGCCUUAACGUGAGGGUCCUAAGGUAGCGAAAUGCCUUGGCCGUUAAAUGCGGUCUUGCAUGAAUGGUGUAACGAUACAACAGCUGUCUCUAUGAUUGACUCAGUGAAAUUGGAAUAGCUGUGCAGAUACAGCUUACCUCUAGUUAGACGAGAAGACCCUAUGCAGCUUUACUGUCACUAAUUAUAGAGUAUGUUAGAGAAUUUUAAGAUUAUAAGGUAAUUGACAAUGUGACUAUGAGAAUCCUUUAUUUAUCUUUCAUAUGAAUGAAUUGGUUUAGGAUUAUAAAGAAGUUAUGAUUAAUCUGGCUUUACUGAGUCUUUUUUUUUUGUGCUUUCUAGCUAAGCUAGAAAAAUAUGCAAGAAAAAGAUUAAUUCUAAAAACAAUAUAAUUUAUAAUAGUAAAUCAACCUAAUUCAGUUUACUAUUUUUAAAAGUAGGUGACCUUUGGUAAGGAACUAUCGUUAGGAGACAGUUUAUGUGGGGCACAGACCCUGUAAAGAGUAAACAGGAGUGUCUAAUAAUUUAUAAUUAUUUUGUUUGCUAUUUUGAGUAGUUUAACUAUUUUUAAUCAUAUAUAAUUAUUUAUAUUUGCUGGGGGGCAUGCAUGUUUUAAAAGUAUGCAGCCCAUUAUCUACGUAAAUAUACUUAAGUUUAAUUUAGGUAGGAUUUUAACUAUGUAGAAAUUAGAGAUAAUUGAAAAUAUUAUGUAAAUUUUAAGACUGGGUGGCUGAUAAAAAGGUACAAAAUCUAUUUUUUUUAUUAGGCAUACUUCGUAACGAAGUAUGCCUACUGCUAUAUUUUUUUCUUGUUAAACAAGAAAAAAAUCAGAAGCACGCCCAGAGCUUAUAAAGUUUCCUAAUGUUUUACAGCUAUUAUUUUUUUUUGUCUUGCUAUUACUUCGCGCUUUUGUGUCUUUUUUCUUGUUAUAAACAAGAAAAAAAUAUGCACAAAAAAAAUAUAUUUUUUAUAAAAAAAUAUGCUAGUAACAAAAAUGCAGGUAGAAAAAAGGAAUAGUUAUGUUUUUAAUAUCUAAAAAGCUCAACGGCUAAAUCUUGCCUUACUGUUUGAUUAUCUACAAAUCUUACAGUUGCGUAAGCAGGGCAUAGGAUCACAAGAUGCAAUAAGGAUAGAUCUUGGAUUAUUGGAAAAGCUACGCUAGGGAUGAACAGGCUAAUUUGCGCAAGAGUGUACAAAAUGAGUGCGCGGUUUGGCACCUCGAUGUCGGCUUAACUUAUCCUCAUGGACGCAGGAACUAUGUAGGGUGCGACUGUUCGUCGAUUAAAAAGUUACAUGAGCUGGGUUAAAUACGUCGUGAGACAGUAUGGUUUCUAUCUUCUAGAGGGAAUUAGAAUAAAAUAAGAACAAACUUUUGUACGCAAGGAACAAGAAGAGUUUAACUCAAAAGGUUAAAAUAUGGUUACUAACCUAUGGUUUACCUGUUGUUUAUGUGCCUAAAUAUUAAAUAUAUAUGCAGCACGUAUAUAUAUAUCUUCUGUAUUAUUAUACAUAGGGAUGUUUCUUUUACUAAGACAAAUGUAUAGCAUAAGCACGGCAGGAACGCUAAGUUAGUUAAAGAUAAGUGCUGAAAGCAUAUAGGCACGAAACUUAUCUUAAGAUAUUUCUUAAAUAUACGUAAUAUACUAUUACGAAAUUUAUAGGCUUUAUCCGUACGAAUCAUGAGAUUUUAAAGAAUAAAGUACUAAUUUAAUAAUUCACUAUUUAUAAAUAUAUCU
Molecule: ribosomal RNA, 3352 nt
Filed under: Ophiocordyceps lanpingensis
Lineage: Eukaryota; Fungi; Ascomycota; Sordariomycetes; Hypocreales; Ophiocordycipitaceae
Description: large subunit ribosomal RNA
Rfam family: Bacterial large subunit ribosomal RNA
Source: RNAcentral